UACAGAGGUCCCAAGCGUUGUUCGGAUUCAUUGGGCGUAAAGGGUGCGUAGGUGGUGGGGUAAGUCGGAUGUGAAAUCUCCGGGCUCAACCCGGAAAUGGCAUUGGAAACUACCUUGCUGGAGGAUUUGAGGGGGGAUUGGAAUACUUGGUGUAGCAGUGAAAUGCGUAGAUAUCAAGUGGAACACCAGUGGCGAAGGCGAAUCCCUGGAAAAUACCUGACACUGAGGCACGAAAGCUAGGGGAGCAAACAGG
RNAcentral lists this ribosomal RNA (253 nucleotides) under uncultured bacterium. RNAcentral describes it as "partial 16S ribosomal RNA". It matches the Rfam family "Bacterial small subunit ribosomal RNA", at positions 524 to 776 of the family's 1533-position model. The record is from RNAcentral.